AGCGGCGCACGGGUGAGUAACACGUGGGUAAUCUGCCUUCGGGCCUGGGACAACCCGGGGAAACCUGGGCUAAUACCGGAUGAGACCACGGUGUCCUCGGACACUGCGGCCAAAGAUGGCCUCUUCUUGAAAGCUAUCGACCGAAGAUGAGCCUGCGUCCCAUUAGCUAGUUGGUGAGGUAACGGCUCACCAAGGCAGUGAUGGGUAGCUGGUCUGAGAGGACGAUCAGCCACACUGGAACUGAGACACGGUCCAGACUCCUACGGGAGGCAGCAGUCGGGAAUUUUGGGCAAUGGGGGCAACCCUGACCCAGCAACGCCGCGUGAGCGAUGAAGGCCUUCGGGUCGUAAAGCUCUGUCGAGAGAGAAGAAGGCUCUCCGGGUGAACAAUCCGGGGGGACGACGGUACCUCUAAAGGAAGCGCCGGCUAACUCCGUGCCAGCAGCCGCGGUAAUACGGAGGGCGCAAGCGUUGUUCGGAAUCACUGGGCGUAAAGCGCGUGUAGGCGGCUUGGCAAGUCGGGUGUGAAAGCCCGGAGCUCAACUCCGGAACUGCAUUCGAAACUGCCUCGCUCGAGUCCCGGAGAGGGUGGUGGAAUUCCCGGUGUAGAGGUGAAAUUCGUAGAUAUCGGGAGGAACACCAGUGGCGAAGGCGGCCACCUGGACGGUGACUGACGCUGAGACGCGAAAGCGUGGGGAGCAAACAGGAUUAGAUACCCUGGUAGUCCACGC
This 730-nucleotide ribosomal RNA is filed under the name uncultured Cystobacterineae bacterium. RNAcentral's name for it is "bacterial SSU rRNA". It matches the Rfam family "Bacterial small subunit ribosomal RNA", at positions 94 to 800 of the family's 1533-position model. The record is from RNAcentral. Lineage: Bacteria; Pseudomonadati; Myxococcota; Myxococcia; Myxococcales.